AAAGUCAAGGAGACUUCAAAGAUGAGAAAUGAUUGCACUGGGCCUUAAAGAGGAAGUUCAGCAGAACAAGGUGGGAAGGGCACGAUAUCAGAGAUCACCUGAUACCUCCAAGCAAGCAGGUGUUCUUUUCAGAAGCCAGAAGCUGAUAACCUGGGCUUUCUGAUCUAACCCCAGCCCAAAUUCAUUGCAAUGGAGGAAUUGGGGAGGAGAUUCUUCCUACUGAGAAGUGGGUGCCAACUCUCCCUUUCAAAUUUGUUCAUCAACUAACUAAAGGGGAUGCCAGAAAUGUCUGGAGCAAUGGAAGAACCACUGGAAUAAUGCUCCUGCCUGAUUGCAUCUACUUAACCCACUCUCCAAGAGCCAGAAUCAGAUUUCAACCGUAUGGAAUCAUCUACAAUGCAGCAGAUGGGUUUACAAGUCUCUUGGUCUCUUCGUGUAAUUAACAGCCAAGAAGUCUAAAGCUUGCAUUGUUUACGUGGAAGAUGUUUCUUGCCCAUUCCCACGCCAUGCCAUCUGAAAUCGCUCCUUUUUUUAUUUUUUCUGUGCAGUUUUUUUAACUUUGUGGGAUCCUCUGCAUAUAAAACUCCAUUCAACUACUUCAUCCUACUGUAGAAAGCUACUUCCCUAUGAGUUUAGCUCCAUGAUUUACAAUGGUUUCUUUUCCCAUUUGCUGUCUGAAUUAUGUUUCGCAAGAACCCUUUGAAAUAAGGAAGGCAUGUAUCAUCUUUCCCUUUUACAGGCAAAGAAACUGAGGCACAGAAAGGCUUAGUAGUAGGUGAUCCUGCAAGAAUUCAAAUGACUUGUCUGGUUCUAAGUUGAGUGCUCUUUUUCUGAUGCCGCAUGUCUUUUCUCCAGAGAAGUAACCUACCUAGACCCAGAGGGAGCUUGAAGAGAGAUUUUCAUCUUACUGUGAGAAAACAAAGACCCAGAGAGUGGAGGGUUUAAGACCAUCCCGGUCAUUGCCAUUAUUUCUUUUCAAAGAGACAGAGGCCUCUGUGUGGAGCUGCUUCUGUGUUUGUGGUGUGAAUUUUGCUGGUGAGAUGUGAGACUCAAAAGAAAUUUGAGAGAUUGUGUCUGACCUUAAGGAAUUUACUAAGAAACCAGGGAAAUAAAGCUGUCUUACAAGAUGCUUAAAACAACAACUAAAGGCAGCCUUAGAUUGGGAGGUACUCCUUCCAAGAUAGAAAUUUCUUAACCUUUGCUUUGAAGUCUGGUUUCUUUUUCAAGAUCCAGAAGCAUAAUCCGUAGUUAGAUUUAGGUUCAAGCCCUUCCUAACUGAUCAUGUUCUAAAUUCCUAUAGUGGUCAUCAAUGUCAUGUCAGCUCAUGUGAAGGUUUUUUCUCCCUUUUUUUUUAGUGGUGAGGAAAAGAUGUAGUAGUAUUUUUCAUGGACUUUGCAGCCUUCUUCAUGGCAAAUAACUUAUUGGAUUAGUUUUCGGUUCUUUUUAAUCAAGGAGCUCUACAUCUGACUUAGUAGAAUACUUUUUCUCAAGGAGAAUUGGGUGUCUUACUUCACAGUUGCUGAAGUAACCUGUGCUUUCUCCCCUGACUCUUCCCGGGAAGAAGGAGUAGCCAUCGUGUCCCAAGUCCUUGAGGACUUCACAGGGUGUUCUAGUGUCCUGAGAAUAUACCUGCCUAAGGUAAAGCAGUCAUGGUACCCUGGGAUUGAUGCACUUCUCACCCUCCACUUUGACUGUCAGAGGCAUUCAUAAGACUUUCUACAUAGGGGAUCCUUGGGCUGGCAGAGGUGGUCUUUGGAUAUGUAAUGGCUACGUGCUGGCCUACAGAGCCCCUUUCCUGUCCUAGUACUCUGCCUGCUAAGAUAGAGAACGGAAUUGCCAUGACUUUAUAGUCUCUGAACACCUUUACCAAAACCACCUGGUUCUUAGGACAGACAAGUGGGAUUAAAGAGAGGGAAAGCUCUGGGCCCAUAGUUGAUUUUGAAAUGGGACAUGGAAUGGUGCAGGUGGGGAUUCAGCAGCCAUACUGGACUGAGGUUUGCAAACCCUCAGUGAUGGCAGGCCCUACGGGAGUGCUGGGGCAGUCAAGUUCCAGAGGCCAGGCAAUGUGGCAUUUGGAGUCAGAAAGAAAGAUCUGGCCGUGAACUCCUGUUCCUCUCUAUACCCUCUGUAUGACCUUGAGCUUGUUGUUUAACUUCAGAAACCUUCCAUGUGGCCUGUCUCCUGGGAGAACUGUAUUAGUUACAACAUACGUAGGCACUCAAAAACGCUGGCUAGCUGUCAUCAUUUUUAUCCUAUGCUAUGUACAGAGAAAAACAUGAUCCAAAUAGAGUAAAGAAUUACAAAGAUAAUUCCUGGUCUAGGACCAGAAGACUUUCCUAAAGCGAAUUAAAUAUAUAAAUGUAUAAUAU
This is a long non-coding RNA of Pan troglodytes (chimpanzee), 2369 nucleotides long. RefSeq lists it as uncharacterized. The transcript has 3 exons. The record is from RefSeq and is a predicted model, not a curated record. NCBI's taxonomy places the organism in Eukaryota, Metazoa, Chordata, Mammalia, Primates, Hominidae.